UAAGGAAUAUUGGUCAAUGGACGCAAGUCUGAACCAGCCAUGCCGCGUGAAGGAUGAAGGUCCUCUGGAUUGUAAACUUCUCUUAUCUGGGACGAAAACGGGAUUUUUAUCUCAAUUGACGGUACCAGAGGAAUAAGCACCGGCUAACUCCGUGCCAGCAGCCGCGGUAAUACGGAGGGUGCGAGCGUUAUCCGGAUUUACUGGGUUUAAAGGGAGCGUAGGCGGACUUUUAAGUGAGAUGUGAAAUACCCGGGCUCAACCUGGGUGCUGCAUUUCAAACUGGAAGUCUAGAGUGCAGGAGAGGAGAGUGGAAUUCCUAGUGUAGCGGUGAAAUGCGUAGAGAUUAGGAAGAACACCAGUGGCGAAGGCGACUCUCUGGACUGUAACUGACGCUGAGGCUCGAAAGCGUGGGGAGCAAACA
This 421-nucleotide ribosomal RNA is filed under the name uncultured bacterium. RNAcentral's name for it is "bacterial SSU rRNA". It matches the Rfam family "Bacterial small subunit ribosomal RNA", at positions 355 to 774 of the family's 1533-position model. The record is from RNAcentral.